Molecule: ribosomal RNA, 700 nt
Filed under: uncultured Parasutterella sp.
Lineage: Bacteria; Pseudomonadati; Pseudomonadota; Betaproteobacteria; Burkholderiales; Sutterellaceae
Description: bacterial SSU rRNA
Rfam family: Bacterial small subunit ribosomal RNA
Source: RNAcentral
GCUCAGAUUGAACGCUGGCGGAACGCUUUACACAUGCAAGUCGAACGGUAACGAGGAGGAAAGCUUGCUUUCCUCUGUCGACGAGUGGCGAACGGGUGAGUAAGACAUCGGAACGUAUCCGCUCGUGGGGGACAACUUCCCGAAAGGGGAGCUAAUACCGCAUGAGAUUCGAGGAUGAAAGAGGGGGACCCGCGAGGGCCUCUCGCGAGCGGAGCGGCCGAUGACUGAUUAGCUAGUUGGUAAGGUAAAGGCUUACCAAGGCGACGAUCAGUAGCUGGUCUGAGAGGACGACCAGCCACACUGGGACUGAGACACGGCCCAGACUCCUACGGGAGGCAGCAGUGGGGAAUUUUGGACAAUGGGCGCAAGCCUGAUCCAGCUAUUCCGCGUGUGGGAAGACGGCCUUCGGGUUGUAAACCACUUUUGUAGAGAACGAAAAGUCUGUUGAUAAUACCGAUGGACGAUGACGGUACUCUAAGAAUAAGCACCGGCUAACUACGUGCCAGCAGCCGCGGUAAUACGUAGGGUGCGAGCGUUAAUCGGAAUUACUGGGCGUAAAGGGUGUGCAGGCGGUUUUGCAAGAUGGAUGUGAAAGCCCCGGGCUUAACCUGGGAAAGCCAUACAUGACUGCAAGACUAGAGUGCGUCAGAGGGGGGUGGAAUUCCAAGUGUAGCAGUGAAAUGCGUAGAUAUUUGGAAGA